UACAGAGGUCCCAAGCGUUGUUCGGAUUCACUGGGCGUAAAGGGCGCGUAGGCGGUGUGUCAAGUCAGGCGUGAAAGCCCCGGGCUCAACCUGGGAACCGCGCUUGAGACUGGCACGCUAGAGUUCGGGAGAGGAUGGUGGAAUUCCCAGUGUAGAGGUGAAAUUCGUAGAUAUUGGGAAGAACACCGAUGGCGAAGGCAGCCAUCUGGACCGACACUGACGCUGAGGCGCGAAAGCGUGGGGAGCAAACAGG
This 253-nucleotide ribosomal RNA is filed under the name uncultured bacterium. Its description in RNAcentral is "partial 16S ribosomal RNA". It matches the Rfam family "Bacterial small subunit ribosomal RNA", at positions 524 to 776 of the family's 1533-position model. The record is from RNAcentral.